CAGAAGUUCAUGACACUCAUAGUGAACAUAAUGAAGAAAGAGAAGCUUUUUGUAUCUCAAGGAGGUCCUAUAAACUUGGGGCAGACAAGUAUAACUCUUGAAGCAAAAUGACGGGUCUAUGUUUGGUUUGCCAAGAACAUGAAGCAAAAUGAAGUAAAGUGGUUCUUGAUUUAGGUUUGGUUUCUCUCUUUCAAACCUAUGUUUUGAUCUUUUCCCGAAUGUGACCUAGUUCUAAUUUGUACGGUGAUUUCUUUCCUUUCCUUGGUUUUUCUUCGGUUGGCCAAGAAGUUGAAGGAAAAUGAACUCUUCUUUCUUUUUCUUGAUUUAUUCCUAUUGAUCAAACCUAUGCCAGUACUUCUUGUUUCCUAUUUCCUGCAAGUCUUGCUUUUAUUUUGUAUAUACGGUCAACUGUAUGCUUUUGUCAGUUUGUUUUCAUUCUCCUUGAUUUACGAAUAUACAGUCAGCAUAUAGUUGCUAUUAUUGUGGUUGAUCAUAAAUUCUUACAUUUGGUCCAUGGGCCAUAUAUUGUUUUCUUGUCGGGGGAUUUUAUUUGUCUUUUCCUCUUUAUGGGAAACUCAAAUUACGUGCUUGAAACAGUUUUGCUUUCCUUUUCUUUCCCAAGGACACUAAUACUGGCUUACAUUGCAGAAAACAUGGCUUAUGAUUCCUCCAUGGGUGGUUGCCUUCUUGUGUUGCACUCUACUUGUUCAGGUGAUGUUAAAUUAACAGCUGCAGAUUUAAUUAAUGUUUUGCGUCGGUCAAUUUUGAAUACCAAAAGCCUUGAACUUAAGGUUAAUUUUGUCUUGCCCCAUUUCUAUAUAUGCAAGCAUGGUUAUUCCCAAGAUGCAUUCAUUUUGAUCAUAGGGGCUUAAUUUGGCUUGGGGAGCUAACACCUAUUUUAAAAAAUUUUCAGGUUGCAUUGUGCAAUGCAUCCAUACAGAUUGCUAAAACAUGUCCUCCUCAUAUCUGGAAACCAGAAUCUCUUAUUUAUACACUUGAUCAUAGGGACUUAAUUUGGCUUGGGGAGCUAACACCUAUUUUAAAAAAUUUUCAGGUUGCAUUGUGCAAUGCAUCCAAACAGAUUGCUAAAACAUGUCCUCCUCAUAUCUGGAAACCAGAAUCUCUUAUUUAUACACUUCUUUCCUUAGAACCCUGCCUGCCAUUGAUAGAUUGCUUUCAAGCAGCUCUAUCCAUACUUGGUCCUGAUUGUGUUGGAGUGAAAACAAGUGACACAAGUGUGGUUUCAUCAACCUCAAGUGAUAAAAGAAUUGAGAACUUGAGAGUUGGAGGGAAGCGGCCUAUUCAGGACCAGGACAUUUGCAAGAGUAAGCGCCAAAAGCUUGAAGAAGAAAGUAUGGCUUCUGAUGCUGAAGUUCAUGUGUCAUGCAAGCUAUCUCAUAUUGUUACCUGUGAAAGAGAACAAGAACACGCAAACUACAUGCACACCUCAUUUCUCUCCUUUGUUGAACUUCUGAAACCCCCUGUGGUCAAAGAUAAACCAUUUAGACCGGAAGUUUCUUUAACUGCUCUUAGCAUGCUUUGCAUUGUCUUCUCUAAAUAUCCACAGACCAAUAUGUCCAUUUUCAUUACUUAACAGAUAUAUGCAUGGAUCCCUUGGAUAUGUGAGCAGGUAAAACAAGGCUGUUCAAUCGCAUUUGAUUAUCCAUCUAUCUGGAAGCAGUUCACUGUGUAUUGCUUUUGCAAAGUCCUCUAUCCACAGAGAAUACUCUUUUAAGAAAUAAUGGGGAUGGUGCAGAUUUUAUGAAUAUAUAGCUAAAGCUUCCAUUUACCCAUUCUUUUAUGCUCAUUGAAUCUAAUCCUCCCUGGAGAACAAAAUGUCUCUCAGUCCAAGUUUAGUCCAAAAUUGGUCAUAGCUUAAAAACUGAAAGCAUUCUUGAAGUGUUGGAUUUGGGUCUCCAUGAUGAAGCUGAUGAGGUUAGAAUUAAAGCUGUCAUUUCUAUGUCGGUGAUUGUCUUGUGGUCUGGUCUUGAUGUGCUAAGACAUGUCUUCAGAAGGCUGG
This is an RNA transcript of Vitis vinifera (wine grape), 2020 nucleotides long. RefSeq lists it as uncharacterized. The transcript is spliced from 3 exons. The record is from RefSeq and is a predicted model, not a curated record. NCBI's taxonomy places the organism in Eukaryota, Viridiplantae, Streptophyta, Magnoliopsida, Vitales, Vitaceae.